RNAcentral lists this ribosomal RNA (373 nucleotides) under uncultured organism. RNAcentral describes it as "bacterial SSU rRNA". It matches the Rfam family "Bacterial small subunit ribosomal RNA", at positions 526 to 896 of the family's 1533-position model. The record is from RNAcentral.
CGGAGGGUGCAAGCGUUGUUCGGAAUUAUUGGGCGUAAAGCGCGCGCAGGCGGCCUGAAAAGUCCAUGGGUGAAAUGCCGGGGCUCAACCCCGUGUGUGCCCAGGAUACUGUCGGGCUGGAGACACGUAGAGGCAAGCGGAAUUCCGGGUGUAGCGGUGGAAUGCGUAGAGAUCCGGAAGAACACCGGAGGCGAAGGCGGCUUGCUGGGCGUGAUCUGACGCUGAGGCGCGAAAGCGUGGGGAGCGAACAGGAUUAGAUACCCUGGUAGUCCACGCUGUAAACGAUGGGCACUGGAUGCGGGGGGGAUCGGCCCUCUCCGUGUCGCAGCUUACGCGUUAAGUGCCCCGCCUGGGGAGUACGGCCGCAAGGCUG